RNAcentral lists this ribosomal RNA (408 nucleotides) under uncultured bacterium. RNAcentral describes it as "partial 16S ribosomal RNA". It matches the Rfam family "Bacterial small subunit ribosomal RNA", at positions 28 to 526 of the family's 1533-position model. The record is from RNAcentral.
GACGAACGCUGGCGGCGUGCCUAAUACAUGCAAGUAGAACGCAGUUGCGAACGGGUGAGUAACGCGUAGGUAACCUGCCUCAUAGCGGGGGGUAACUAUUGGAAACGAUAGCUAAUACCUCAUGCUGUGAGAUGGACCUGCGUUGUAUUAGCUAGUUGGUGAGGUAAAGGUUCACCAAGGCGACGAUACAUAGCCGACCUGAGAGGGUGAUCGGCCACACUGGGACGGAGACAGGGCCCAGACUCCUACGGGAGGCAGCAGGAGGGAAUCUUCGGAAAUGGUCGAAAGUCUGACCGAGGAACGCCGCGUGAGUGAAGAAGGUUUUCGGAUCGGAAAACUCUGUUGUUAGAGAAGCGGUAUCUAACCAGAAGGCCACGACUAACUACGUGCCAGCAGCCGCGGUAAUUC